Molecule: transfer RNA, 72 nt
Filed under: Ovis aries (sheep)
Lineage: Eukaryota; Metazoa; Chordata; Mammalia; Artiodactyla; Bovidae
Rfam family: tRNA
About the family: Transfer RNA (tRNA) molecules are approximately 80 nucleotides in length.
Source: Rfam by way of RNAcentral
UCCCUGGUGGCUCAGAUGGUAAAGCGUCUGCCUACAAUGCGGGAGACCCUGGUUCGAUCCCUGGGCUGGGAA